Molecule: ribosomal RNA, 253 nt
Filed under: uncultured bacterium
Lineage: Bacteria
Description: partial 16S ribosomal RNA
Rfam family: Bacterial small subunit ribosomal RNA
Source: RNAcentral
UACGGGGGGGGCAAGCGUUGUUCGGAAUUACUGGGCGUAAAGGGCUCGUAGGCGGCCAACUAAGUCAGACGUGAAAUCCCUCGGCUUAACCGGGGAACUGCGUCUGAUACUGGAUGGCUUGAGAUUGGGAGAGGGAUGCGGAAUUCCAGGUGUGGCGGUGAAAUGCGUAGAUAUCUGGAGGAACACCGAUGGCGAAGGCAGGUCUCUGGGCUGACACUGACGCUCAUGCACGAAAGCGUGGGGAGCAAACAGG